Molecule: ribosomal RNA, 497 nt
Filed under: uncultured bacterium
Lineage: Bacteria
Description: partial 16S ribosomal RNA
Rfam family: Bacterial small subunit ribosomal RNA
Source: RNAcentral
GAUGAACGCUGGCGGCGUGCCUAAUACAUGCAAGUCGAGCGAACGGACGAGAAGCUUGCUUCUCUGAUGUUAGCGGCGGACGGGUGAGUAACACGUGGAUAACCUACCUAUAAGACUGGGAUAACUUCGGGAAACCGGAGCUAAUACCGGAUAAUAUUUUGAACCGUAUGGUUCAAAAGUGAAAGACGGUCUUGCUGUCACUUAUAGAUGGAUCCGUGCUGCAUUAGCUAGUUGGUAAGGUAACGGCUUACCAAGGCAACGAGGCAUAGCCGACCUGAGAGGGUGAUCGGCCACACUGGAACUGAGACACGGACCCGACUCCUACGGGAGGCAGCAGUAGGGAAUCUUCCGCAAUAGGCGAAAGCCUGACGGAGCAACGCCGCGUGAGUGAUGAAGGUCUUCGGAUCGUAAAACUCUGUUAUUAGGGAAGAACAUAUGUGUAAGUAGCUGUGCACAUCUUGACGGUACCUAAUCAGAAAGCCACGGCUAACUACGUG